UACAGAGGGUGCGAGCGUUAAUCGGAAUUACUGGGCGUAAAGCGCGCGUAGGCGGCUUUGCAAGUUAGAGGUGAAAGCCCGGGGCUCAACCCCGGAAUUGCCUUUAAGACUGCAUCGCUAGAAUCCAGGAGAGGUGAGUGGAAUUCCGAGUGUAGAGGUGAAAUUCGUAGAUAUUCGGAAGAACACCAGUGGCGAAGGCGGCUCACUGGACUGGUAUUGACGCUGAGGUGCGAAAGCGUGGGGAGCAAACAGG
RNAcentral lists this ribosomal RNA (253 nucleotides) under uncultured bacterium. RNAcentral's name for it is "partial 16S ribosomal RNA". It matches the Rfam family "Bacterial small subunit ribosomal RNA", at positions 524 to 776 of the family's 1533-position model. The record is from RNAcentral.